UACGUAGGGUGCGAGCGUUGUCCGGAAUUACUGGGCGUAAAGCGCGUGUAGGCGGCUCGGUAAGUGGGUCGUGAAAGCGCCCGGCUAAACUGGGCGAGGACGAUCGAGACUGCCAGGCUAGAGGGUGGUAGAGGGACAGGGAAUUCCGGGUGUAGCGGUGAAAUGUGUAGAGAUCCGGAGGAACACCAGUGGCGAAGGCGCUGUCCUGGGCCACCUCUGACGCUGAUACGCGAAGGCGUGGGGAGCGAACGGG
This 253-nucleotide ribosomal RNA is filed under the name uncultured bacterium. RNAcentral's name for it is "partial 16S ribosomal RNA". It matches the Rfam family "Bacterial small subunit ribosomal RNA", at positions 524 to 776 of the family's 1533-position model. The record is from RNAcentral.